RNAcentral lists this small RNA (611 nucleotides) under Pongo abelii (Sumatran orangutan). RNAcentral describes it as "processed transcript". The record is from RNAcentral. Lineage: Eukaryota; Metazoa; Chordata; Mammalia; Primates; Hominidae.
ACCUAUGAGCAGAGGAAAAUCGUGGAGUUCACCUGCCACACAGCCUUCUUCGUCAGUAUUGUGGUGGUGCAGUGGGCCGACUUGGUCAUCUGUAAGACCAGGAGGAAUUCGGUCUUCCAGCAGGGAAUGAAGAACAAGAUCUUGAUAUUUGGCCUCUUUGAAGAGACGGCCCUGGCUGCUUUCCUUUCCUACUGCCCUGGAAUGGGUGUUGCUCUUAGGAUGUAUCCCCUCAAGUAAGUUGAUCCUCUUGUAGCUCCAAAAAGUAUGAAAUAGUAUGUGUGGCUUUUCCCCCAUUACUUGUGGUAAUAGCUGUUAUUUUCAGAAUUUUGAGUGGUAUGUACAAAAAUUCCUAUGGGUCGGAAAACUGGGAAAGCUUGACAUGUCAGUAAAUCAGACUAACAAAUCCUGAGGCUUCCAUGAUAGCAGCUAGUGCUUAGGAUUUGGCCCAAGAUAAGAUAAAGCCACACAGGCUCUAGCUCCAUGGAAUUGCUCGACAGCGAACUGCAUUGAGCACUCAGGUCUGCCACAGCUGUAGUCCAGUUGUCUUUAGAGGCCAACUGGGGGUAUGCUGGAGCUUAGGUGCCCAGGGCUCAAAUAUUGAUUUGCUUGCU